This 497-nucleotide ribosomal RNA is filed under the name uncultured bacterium. RNAcentral's name for it is "partial 16S ribosomal RNA". It matches the Rfam family "Bacterial small subunit ribosomal RNA", at positions 28 to 507 of the family's 1533-position model. The record is from RNAcentral.
GAUGAACGCUGGCGGCGUGCCUAAUACAUGCAAGUCGAGCGAACAGACGAGGAGCUUGCUCCUCUGACGUUAGCGGCGGACGGGUGAGUAACACGUGGAUAACCUACCUAUAAGACUGGGAUAACUUCGGGAAACCGGAGCUAAUACCGGAUAAUAUAUUGAACCGCAUGGUUCAAUAGUGAAAGACGGUUUUGCUGCCACUUAUCGAUGGAUCCGCGCCGCAUUAGCUAGUUGGUAAGGUAACGGCUUACCAAGGCAACGAUGCGUAGCCGACCUGAGAGGGUGAUCGGCCACACUGGAACUGAGACACGGUCCAGACUCCUACGGGAGGCAGCAGUAGGGAAUCUUCCGCAAUGGGCGAAAGCCUGACGGAGCAACGCCGCGUGAGUGAUGAAGGUCUUCGGAUCGUAAAACUCUGUUAUUAGGGAAGAACAAAUGUGUAAGUAACUAUGCACGUCUUGACGGUACCUAAUCAGAAAGCCACGGCUAACUACGUG